CGCGACCUCGGAGAACCUAAAGCCUAAACCGCGGCUUGGGUUCGGGGGAGCUCCAGGCCGCCGGCGACGAUGGGAAAGCCGCUGGGCGACAGCGUGUUCGCCGGCCACGCGGCCGCCGGCGUCGCGGCGAUCACCGCCUCCGCGGUCGCCGUCCACCCGCUCGACACCGUCAAGACCCUCCUCCAGUUGAGCGCUACGGGGUCGCAGCAGAAGAUGGGGCUCGGCCAAGUGGUGGACCGGCUCAUGUCCGCCUCCGGCCCUGCAGGCCUUUACAGUGGCAUUGGAUGGUCAGUAUUGGGCAAGCUGCCUGGGUUGGGAGCACGUUUUGGAACUUAUGAACUCUUAACAGCCUUCUAUAAAGAUGGAAAGGAGGACAACUAUGUUUCUUACUCUGAGGCUAUGUUGGCCGGCAUAGCUGCUGGUGCUGUUGAGUCAGUUUUGUGCACACCAUUUGAACUUCUGAAACUUCGGAGCCAAGUUGGUUCUGUGAAACCAAUGAAAGCCACAGACCCAGCAAACAUUACAAAAGUGGCAUUUCCACUGCUCUCCAAACUGUUGCCUGGUUAUGUCCCUGACAUCAGAGUAUGGAAUAGCAGUGUCAGCCUUUUGUCCAAUCUUUCCCCAAAGCAUCCUGACAUGAUGGGUGCCCUGAAACAGCAUCCGUGGAUGCUUACUGGUUCAGGGAAGCCCCCAUUGCCCUCUGAUGUUCAGGUUCCUUCAAGAGUGAUAGCACUUGAAGGAUGGGGUGCUCUAUGGAGAGGACUUAGACCAGGGAUGACCCGGGACUGCGUCUUUGGAGGAAUGUUCUUUUCAACUUGGCAAUUCAUACACACAGCGAUGCUUACUUGGAGUGCUGUUAAUAUGAACCCUCAACCCAGCAAACUGGAAGAAGCAGGCCCUGUAUCCCCUUUUGCUUCUAGUCUUGCUGCAGGCUUCUCAGGAGUUGUAGCAGCUGCUGCUUCCCAUACAUUUGAUACCGCCAAAAGUCGUUCGGAAUGCACUGUUAUACCAAAGUAUAUCGCGAUGGAGAGGAGGCUUCUUAAAUGGAAAGUACCAGGAAAUUGGAUAGAGAGAAAGACAGGAAUAUCUCCUGCCGAUAGGAAUGUUCUGUUCCGUGGUAUUGGUCAACGAAUGGCCCGAAGUGGAUUUGCAUCUUUUCUACUUGUUGGGUCCUACUAUUUUGUUAUAGAUCAGUUCUUGUAGACGACAUGAAGAGACAUCAUUUAACUAAGAGAUCUCUUUAAUGAAUUUCAAACAUUCUAUGUGCAUCUGGUGAAUAAUUGAAGAACAGAAUUCAAGGCUGCCUCUUUUGGUAUCAGGCUUUUGUUGAAGAGAUAACAAGUAUCUUGUAUGGAAACCGUAUUGUUGGUAGGAUGACUGAUGAGUAGCAACUACUGAAGAUCCUUUUUAAGUUUUUGAUAAGGAUUUUGUGAGAAAAAAAUAUGUCUUCAUUAUUGUUCAAGGUUAAUUUCAUCAUAAGAUUUUACUUCUUCUCUCUUUUUUCUUGUCAUUAGAAAGUAAACGGUAAGGCUUUUUGUGAAUAUUUUUGGGGAUGCCAUAAUUCCCUGAAAGCUGCCUUCUACUUCUGUUUACGGUACUAUUCAGCAAUCCUACAAUAUAUCUUGGAAUAUUUUACUUCAA
Molecule: non-coding RNA, 1641 nt
Organism: Oryza sativa Japonica Group (Japanese rice)
Lineage: Eukaryota; Viridiplantae; Streptophyta; Magnoliopsida; Poales; Poaceae
Source: RefSeq, a predicted model, not a curated record